CAUUACUGAACAAUUAGGGUUGUAGCUGACUCUGUCAACCGAGUACUGUGCUCGCUCUAUUCUUCCACUUUUCCCCCUGUGCACCUUUUGUAUGCUAUGACAUCCAUCGUGUGGGAGUUCAUACUCAUUACCGGUUCAAGGGAUUGCUGGAUUUACUCCGGCUGCUCUUGCCCUUCAUAUGCCUAUGUCUUUAUACACUCUUUACAAGUCUAGAAUGUCUUUUGAGGGUCUAUUGACCUAUAAACUUAAUACAACUUUCAACAACGGAUCUCUUGGCUCUCGCAUCUAUGAACAACGCAGCAAAAUGCGAUAAGUAAUGUGAAUUGCAAAAUUCAGUGAAUCAUCAAAUCUUUAAACGCACCUUGCGCCCUUUGGUAUUCCGAAUGGCAUGCCUGUUUGAUUGUCAUUAAAUUCCCAAACCUUGAUCAUUUUUGCGACUGACUUCAAGGCUUUGGAUGUGGGAGUCUGCUGGAACUCUUUUGGUUCAGCUCUCCUCUGUCCAGUAAACAUUUUUCCGCCUUUGACAUCGGGUUUUUUGGAUUUUGGCAGGGAGGAGGAAAGUGCGGAAAGUAAUAAAAAAUGCGGAAUUCAGGGAUUCAUGGAUUCUUGGAAUGUAUGAACCGCCCUUUGGCCUUUGGUUAUUGCGGAGGGGCUUGAGUGUCAUGUUAUCUUUAAAUUUUAAACCUUUUUCCGUUUUUGGGCUGGGAUUAGGGGGUUGGGUGUUGGGGUUUGGUGGGAACAUAUUGGGUUAAGCUUCCUUAAAAGCCAUAAGGGGUUACUUGAUCCCCUUUCCUUGGUGUGAUAAUUAUAUACGCCUUUGAAAUGAUCAGCAUUGUAUCAGCUUCUAACCGUCCAUUGACUUGGACAACUACUUAAUUGACCAUUGACCUC
This 891-nucleotide unclassified non-coding RNA is filed under the name uncultured Mycena. Its description in RNAcentral is "sequence contains ITS1, 5.8S rRNA gene and ITS2". The stretch from base 253 to 406 matches the Rfam family "5.8S ribosomal RNA". The record is from RNAcentral. Lineage: Eukaryota; Fungi; Basidiomycota; Agaricomycetes; Agaricales; Tricholomataceae.